GUUGCGACCCCCCUGCAACUGCCUUUUGGGUCAGGGCCCCCAAUUUGAGAAACGCUGGUCUCCCAUGUGAAAUCGGUAUAGUAUAGGGUAAAGGCACACAAACAACCAGAUUUCAUGGUUUGUGACGUGUUUUUCAUGGCCGUGAAUUUGAGGGCCCUACCCCUAGGACAUUAGCAAGUAUGUAAACACUGCUAGCGUCAGCAUUAACGUAACCUCUGCCCCAUCAAUGCAGUGGAGUGGCUCUGGAAGGCGGAUUCUGGGGCAGCAGCCAGUGGGGGAGCCUGGCAGCAUGGCUUCAGCAGGAACAGUGGGUAGAUCAAGGAACCUGCGCAGAGGCACAGGGGUCCCCGCAGAUUUCUUGAGGGCAGUGUGGACCAUCGGGGGAGCUGCUGGCUUGGGGGCCAAACCCCCUGCUACAUUUUCGAGUAGGCAGGACGUGCCCUGUGAUCGGCGGGGGGCUGUAUCCGACUGGAUUUCUGUCGCCUGGGCAGCAGCAGCCCGGUAGGGGAUGAUCCGACCCCUUUGUCUUUAUCCAUCUCAUGUGCUAAGCCAUGGCCCAGCACUCAAGUUGUAAUUCUGGGCAGUGAGGAGGAGUUGCAGCGUUAACGUGCGACUGAGCCCUAGCAAGUAGUGGCUGCCACCACUGCCCCUUCAGUUCAACCCCAUGGGCACGUUAGCCUUGGCAAGAGCAAAGCCUUAACACUACGGUGGGAUAGCUUUGUAUAUUUAAUGUAGGGACUGACCAGUGCAGCCCCCGCCUCUCUUGUUAAUGCGGGAGAACGACAUGUCAGUAGGGAUUUGUAGUAAAAGGCCUUUAAUUGUUUUAACGGAUGUCUGCACCUCCCUCCAGAAGGAAGCACAACAGCAGUGAGAGCAUCUCCAGGCAAAGGCUCCGAAGCACCUAUCCUCUGUAAAAUGAAAAUCGCGCUCUUCCCUGUGGAUUCACCCUCUGUCCCCCUUUUUCCUGAUGUUGUUUUUUUCAGAAUGAACAAAAACAAAUAUAUUGUUGAUUGCUUCA
Molecule: long non-coding RNA, 1018 nt
Organism: Malaclemys terrapin pileata
Lineage: Eukaryota; Metazoa; Chordata; Testudines; Emydidae
Exons: 2
Source: RefSeq, a predicted model, not a curated record